GAGUUGGUGCAGCAAGAGGUCCCUGCAAUGCAAGAAGCGAGCGCUCAUCGUGGACGUGCCACUUGACGUCGCCGCCCUUCUUGUUGAAGGCCUCCAUGUGCUCCCCAAUGUGGGCGAGAUCCUUGUCCCUGCACCCGGCGUUGACGACGAGGUAGAUGUGCUGGUCGGUGACCUUGGUAACGACGGAGUCGUCGAUGGCGCCGCCGCGGUCGUUGGUGAAGACGGUGAGCGUCCCGGUGCCGUCCUUGAGCGCCGCGACGUCGGCGACGACGAGGGACUCGAGGAAGGGGAUGGCCUGGCGGCCGUGGAGGCUGAGGCCGCACAUGUGGGAGACGUCGAAGAGGCUGCCGUUGGCGCGGCAGUUGAGGGUGGAGUCCAUGAUGGUGUCCUUGUACUGGAUGGGCAUGCUCCACCCGGCG
This 419-nucleotide unclassified non-coding RNA is filed under the name Hevea brasiliensis (rubber tree). The record is from RNAcentral. Lineage: Eukaryota; Viridiplantae; Streptophyta; Magnoliopsida; Malpighiales; Euphorbiaceae.